UUCAGAACGUCGUGAGACAGUUCGGUCCCUAUCCUAUGCGGGCGCAGGAUACUUGAGAAGGGUCGCUUCUAGUACGAGAGGACCGAAGUGAACGUACCUCUAGUGUACCAAUUGUCACGCCAGUGGCAUCGUUGGGUAGCUAUGUACGGUUGUGAUAAGCGCUGAAAGCAUCUAAGCACGAAACACGCUUCAAGAUUAGGUAUCCCUCUCCGCCUUUGGCGGAGACUAAAGACUCCUCGGAGAUUACGAGGUUGAUAGGCUGCAGGUAUAAGUCCCGUAAGGGAUUCAGCUGAGCAGUACUAAUAAGUCGUGCGGCUUAACCAUUAAUUUUUAUU
Molecule: ribosomal RNA, 335 nt
Filed under: Ignavibacteria bacterium RIFOXYB2_FULL_35_12
Lineage: Bacteria; Pseudomonadati; Ignavibacteriota; Ignavibacteria
Description: bacterial LSU rRNA
Rfam family: Bacterial large subunit ribosomal RNA
Source: RNAcentral